Molecule: RNA transcript, 1791 nt
Organism: Beta vulgaris subsp. vulgaris (sugar beet)
Lineage: Eukaryota; Viridiplantae; Streptophyta; Magnoliopsida; Caryophyllales; Amaranthaceae
Exons: 5
Source: RefSeq, a predicted model, not a curated record
GGGUGUAGAAUCUAAUUUGCGCAAAAGAAGCAAGUACUCGUCGCUCAGGCUCAGCAAUAGUAGGCACAUCGGGCGUAGGAGAGAGAAAAACGAGGAUGGAGUCGACGGGGGAGUGGCUGGAGAAGGCGUUGAAUGAAUUGUGUAGUAAGGUCGAAAAUGCUUUAGACUUCGAUUCUGACAUGAUUUCCGGCCUCGUUUCUUACUGUCAAUUCGCUCCUCCUCUCGAUGCCAAAGAAUACCUUGAUAACAUAAUUGGCGAGGAAACAGGCAAAACUGUCAUACAGGAAUACUUGAGAAGGAGGGGUUUCUCAACAUCACCUGAAGUUGUGGCUGCUCCUACUUCUAAAUUACAGGCAUAUGUCAAGCCAAGCACAGAUAAAGGCUUGACCAGUGGAGCCAAGAAGCUAUCAAGAGUGGAGAAAGAGGUUUCAGCUUCUAAUAGCCACAAUAAUCAGGUGAAAACGGAAGCUGCGGUUUCAGGAAACAGGCAACAAAGCAGUUCUAGAAAGAAAAAGGGUGGGAAAGUUAUUUCACUUGCGGAAGCGGCCAAGGGAUCUAUUGUAUAUCAGCAAGGCAAACCAUGCUCUUGUCAGGCACGCCAACAUAGAUUAGUGAGCAACUGCUUAGCUUGCGGUAAAAUUGUAUGUGAGCAGGAAGGAGAAGGUCCAUGCAAGUUUUGUGGGGCUUUAGUGCUGAAGGAAGGAAGCACAUAUGCUGGUUUGGAGGUGGCCGCAGUACCCCUGACAGAAGACGAGGCAGCUGCAAAUGCUUAUGCCAAGAGGCUUGUCGAUUUUGAUCGCAAUGCAGCAGCACGCACGAGUGUUAUUGAUGAUCAAAGUGAUUACUAUGACGAGGGUAAUAGCUGGUUAUCAGUGGAGGAGAAGGAACUUUUGAAGAAGAAACAAGAGGAGAUUGAAGCUGCUGAGGAGGCGAAACGGAAGAGAGUAGUUGUGGCUUUUGACUUGGUUGGACGCAGGGUAUUACUGAACCAAGAUGAUGUUUCAGAAGUGGAAUCUGGACUCAGCAUUUUACGGCCAGCUGAUGAGAGAGAAGCAAGCCGAGUCAAACCAAAUCCCACCCUUCAGGUGCAGCCAAUUUUCAUUGAUCCAGGUCCUAGCGAAAAGCCUCACAAGAAUAAGCGAUCAGGUAAAGGCCUUAACAAGGGUAUGUGCUUGGAGAUCAGUGGGAGGGUGCAGCAUGAUCGCAACGAAUUCAAGCAUUUGCUGAAGGAGCAUCCUAUAUCUUCUUGAGCAAAUGAGCACCCAUGAGGUGAGGGCAAUCUUGGAGUGGUGUCGCAUGGAUGGGACAUGGGAGAAAAGAUGCUGAAUGCUUGGCCGCAUACUAAGAGCUUUCAGCAUCUCUGAGGGAUUUGGAUCUUGAUCUUCAUCCUACCAUUUACCGGUAAUUUCCCUUCAAUCAAAGAGGGUUAGUUUUGUUAUUUUGAUUUUGGAGUGGCCCCCUUUAUCUGCCUUGACUCCUAAAAUCCAAGAGUAAGAGAUUAUGGAGCUUGGUUUGGUUGGAUCGUGCAUGGUUGGAGCUCACUUUCUUUCAUGAAGGAUCGCGUAGCCUAUUAGAUUCACAGUUGCCUAUCUUAGUAUAGCUGCUUGGGUUACAAACGUGAGGAGUAGAUGAUGACAUGACCCUCAGACCUUGUGCCUGGGGAUUGGGGUUGAUAUCACUGUAACAAACCUUGCCUCUCGCAUGAACAAUAACUGAAUUGUCAUUAUUCCGAAUACUGACCCUUGGGGAGUGUUAUAACAUUAUAUCUUAUAUGUAACGAAAUUCGACUCA